CCUACGGGGGGCUGCAGUGGGGAAUAUUGGACAAUGGGCGAAAGCCUGAUCCAGCCAUGCCGGGUGUGUGAAGAAGGCCUUCGGGUUGUAAAGCACUUUCAGUGGGGAAGAAAGCCUUGGGGCUAAUACCCUCGAGGAAGGACAUCACCCACAGAAGAAGCACCGGCUAACUCCGUGCCAGCAGCCGCGGUAAUACGGAGGGUGCGAGCGUUAAUCGGAAUUACUGGGCGUAAAGCGCGCGUAGGCGGUCUGAUAAGCCGGUUGUGAAAGCCCCGGGCUCAACCUGGGAACGGCAUCCGGAACUGUCAGGCUAGAGUGCAGGAGAGGAAGGUAGAAUUCCCGGUGUAGCGGUGAAAUGCGUAGAGAUCGGGAGGAAUACCAGUGGCGAAGGCGGCCUUCUGGACUGACACUGACGCUGAGGUGCGAAAGCGUGGGUAGCAAACAGGAUUAGAUACCCGAGUAGUC
This 465-nucleotide ribosomal RNA is filed under the name Vreelandella stevensii. RNAcentral describes it as "partial 16S ribosomal RNA". It matches the Rfam family "Bacterial small subunit ribosomal RNA", at positions 338 to 795 of the family's 1533-position model. The record is from RNAcentral. Lineage: Bacteria; Pseudomonadati; Pseudomonadota; Gammaproteobacteria; Oceanospirillales; Halomonadaceae.